UUAAAGGGUCCUGAUACCCUGGGAUUGGAACAGAUAUUUCACAGCUGGAGAUAAUCAUCCAUAUUCCAUCAUACCAUUUAGUUCAACGCUUGCUGAGUUCUCAGAACUUCUCAAAAAAUAAAGAUAUUGAGGCUCUGAGAAUCUGGAUAACUCAGUCAAAGAAACCCACCCAGACCAUGAUAUAGAUGGAGAAAAUGCCAUGUUGGAAACAAGACUUGACCAAGAACCAAGUGUCUGCAGUUCUGGUUUCAAUUCCACGUGUAUGGUUUGAGCAAGCCACUCAGUUUUUCUGGGUCUCAAUUAGUCACGUAUAAAUUAAGGGAACAGAAUGAACAAUUUAAAUUUAAGAAUGAACGUAUAAUUUAAGGCCCCUUCCAGCUCUAGAAUUCUAAUUCUAUAUGCUUAUUAAGUACUUUUUAUUCAAAAUUUUAAAAAAACAUUAAUUUACAAGCCCACAUAAAUAACUAUGAUUACUUAUUUAAAAACUUCGAAAAAUUCUUGGGAUAUACUGAGUUAAUACAAGUACUAUAAUAUUCUACUUAGCAAAAAUAUGGCAAUGCUAAAUUAAUGAACCUUUAGUUUAGAUCAAUAUCAAUGAAUUAAAACAAAACUAAAAUUACGGGCUUUUUAAAAAAUCUGUUUUUAAUAGAUUUUGCCCGUGUUGCUUUUUAAAAAUCUAUUUUUGAGCAUAUAAUGAGUGAAUUUUCCCCAGUACCUAGGUUAUGACAUGGACAUAAAUUAGGCAUAUAAAGAAAAUGAACUUUUAUAAGUCACCACAUUACUACUAAUGCACAGUAAUAAAUUACUAAAUGGUACCCAUAAGGUUUGAGAAAAAAAGUACAGUUUUCACAGUGACUUAUUCGAAUAAUGUUGUCUACAAAUCAGAUUUGUUCUUAUUCACUCCAAACUGUAUAUAAUUCAGUUGUCAGCAUGAAAUCUCUGCCCUUUAAACUCUAAGUAAAAUUGUCACCAAAGUCCCACCUCUAUUCCGAAGCCUGCGCAAGCUGAAAGGCUUUCUCAGGUUGCCAGUGAACUAAUGGAGGCCUCCUCUGCAUUCUUAGAGGUGGAGUCUCUGUUUUGCUUCUUAGCAAAACAAAUGUAAUUUCAACAGCCACUUCUUGCAUUUCCACAGAAGCAACAUCUGCAUUAUUAAGAACAGAACACCUUACUGAAGGUCAGGAUCAUGAGAAGGAGUCACCUAACAAUUUUAAGAUUCUUUCUAGACAUUCCUUUCCUCCAAGGGCCCUUCCACUCUCUGUGCUCACACAUAUCUCUCCUGGCAUCUCCCCCAUGUUGCACACUUCCCUUGUCUUUCUUAAUAUUCCAAUGCAACAAAAGCAAAAAAAAAAAAAAAAAAAAAAAAGCCUUUCCUUGCCUCAUAGAGAGCAACUCAAUCUUCUUUUCUAAAACUUUCUUCAAUGCUCAGAGUCUUGGGGUCUCACCUGUAUUUCUAAAGCCUGUUAAGAUAUUUUUCCUAAAUAAUCUCCUUGUAAGUCUGGAUUCUUUUUGUUGAAAGUUACUGGAACCAUGAAAACUACCUUAAGCUAUGAAGGGGAAAUUUUUGGCAUCUGUAACUGGGAAGUGUGGAGUGGACCCUAGAACAGGCACGUGACAUCAAGACACUCUCACUGACUCUGCUUCUCUCUGGGUGUUGACUCUGUUCUCUCAGACCUGUUCAUGUUGUGAGGGAUAUGGUGACUGGCACCUCAGGGUCAUAUCAUUAGAGCUCACAAUUCAAGUGAAAAAAGAGAUCCACAUAAUAUCCAUUAUUGCCAUUUUUCAGAAGCAGGAUGGAUCCUUACUCAAAGUUUGAAUCAGAUGUCAAAACUGAUGACACCACACAUGCACCAUGAAGGCAUUAAAAUGGGUUACUACUUAUAUAAUGAAGUUUUCUAGGAAAGCAGGAUAGACUUUCCAAGCUGGGUUUAGAAAAGAAAAGGCAACUGAUCUAAGGCUUGUAUUGUGGUUAGGAGGUGGGGGUCUGGGUGAGGAUUCCCAAGCGUGGGCAGGGGCUUAUGUGGCUUGAAUCAUCCACCAUCACCAAAGGAGAGAAUACUGGCUUUUUUAUUAUCAGCUUUCCCAGAAGCAGAAGGGAAGACAGAGGAGUGAGGCUUAAAAGUGGUUACAGUCAAAACUAAAACAUGCAGUCAAACUCUUUAUCACAACACCUCAACUUGAGUCACACAUCCAACUGUUGGAAUCACCAUUGCAUCCAGGAGAUCAUAGCCCUAUGACAGAUCUUAUGCUCACAUGAUCACAUCGUGACUAUUGGGCCAAGAUGCUGAAACCAGCAGUCCCACAAGAUCGAAUGUAAUGGGUUGUGGGAAAGGAAUGGGUCUCAAAGAAAAGAGAUAUGCUCUUGUUAGAAGAAGUUGACACAGUAUGCUGAGAAGAAAAAAAUACAACAAAAUAAAACAUUAACACAAUAUUUCAAUGAAAAUAUUAUGAAGCCACCUCAUAAGAUUUUUUAAAGUGUCCACUUAUUUGUUUGUAUAAUUGGUAACACAAGUAAUCUGCAGAAUUGCACAAUACAAAAAGCACAGGAGUCUGGAUUCAAAAUAUACUAGAUAAGAAUGUAGGCUGUUUCACCAGCUGUGGGGACUUGGGCAAAAAUAAAAGUAAAAGAAGAAGAUAAAAGGGGAAAAUGAAGGCUUUCCAAGAGUGCUUACUAAGUGCCAAUCAUCAUGCUAAGUGCUUCAGAUGAGUUAUCCAUUUAAUCUCCCAUUAGAACCUUAUGAUUUUGAGGCUGUUAUAACCUCCACUUUAUUCAUAUAAUGAUAGAAAACCAGCAAGAGAACUCUAAGUUUGUUAGACUUUAAAGGCUAAAUCUUAUAGACUGUUUCAAUGAGUAUUCAUCAUACUCUUAGUGAUCACUGGCAUGCCACUAAUUUGUUUUGCUUAGCAGCCUUAUAUUUUGUUCCAAAAUUCAUCAUCUGUGAUUCAGAAACUAAGAUGUUUCUUUAUUCAGCAUCAUCUAAUCUCAAGCUAUAAGAUGCUGUUGUCUGUCAUGGUAACUUUAUAUCUUAAUUUGGGGAAAUCAAUAAGAGCAAUAGGGCAGUAUUCCUAUCACUAACAGAAAUCAGGAAUGAAAAUGUACUUGUGUGAAACAAAUAACAGAAGGGCCUCUGAAAGACAUACACACAAACCAUAAAAUACCAGGGGAAGUUCUGAAAUCUGCCACCAUAAGUUAUUGCUAUCACAAGGUGUAAAAUCAGUAAUGACAACAGCAAUGAUUCAAGUUAAUUGAAUUCUGAACUCCCUUAUUCUUAUCUUCACACCCAAAUUGGUGCCCAGGCCUCUGUUUCUGACUAAAAUAAUCUAUAUAAAGCCUUUCACUCUCUCCUUCCAUAUUUUGCAUACUGUGUAAGAAAUAAAAUUAAAUUUCUCUUUCUGUAAGCAAUUCACAAAAUGGUUAUGUACUACAUCCUUUUCUCAUUUUUUCUGCAAAAGUAUCCUCAGUUUGAAAUGGUCUUUUUUUAUGUUAUGUGCCACACAUUGUUCUAAGCUCUGGAAUACAAGACAGACAGUUCAUUACUUUGCAGAGUUCAUAUUAUAGAAGAUAAAUGCAGA
RNAcentral lists this long non-coding RNA (3570 nucleotides) under Homo sapiens (human). Its description in RNAcentral is "HSALNT0110597". Lineage: Eukaryota; Metazoa; Chordata; Mammalia; Primates; Hominidae. The record is from RNAcentral.